RNAcentral lists this unclassified non-coding RNA (17 nucleotides) under synthetic construct. The record is from RNAcentral.
GGGACCUUCCCGGUCUC